CUACGGGAGGCUCCAGUGGGGAAUUUUGCGCAAUGGGGGGAACCCUGACGCAGCAACGCCGCGUGAGUGAUGAAGGCUUUCGGGUCGUAAAGCUCUGUCAAGUGGGAAGAACCUGCAAUAUGUUAAUAUCUUAUUGCACUGACGGUACCACUAAAGGAAGCACCGGCUAACUCCGUGCCAGCAGCCGCGGUAAUACGGGGGGUGCAAGCGUUAUUCGGAAUCAUUGGGCGUAAAGGGCGCGUAGGCGGCUUCUUAAGUCAGAUGUGAAAGCCCGGGGCUUAACCCCGGAAGUGCAUUUGAAAGUAAGAGGCUUGAGUAUGGGAGAGGGAAGUGGAAUUCCUGGUGUAGAGGUGAAAUUCGUAGAUAUCAGGAGGAACAUCGGUGGCGAAGGCGACUUCCUGGACCAAUACUGACGCUGAGGCGCGAAGGCGUGGGGAGCAAACAGGAUUAGAUACCCCCGUAGUC
RNAcentral lists this ribosomal RNA (465 nucleotides) under uncultured bacterium. RNAcentral's name for it is "partial 16S ribosomal RNA". It matches the Rfam family "Bacterial small subunit ribosomal RNA", at positions 339 to 795 of the family's 1533-position model. The record is from RNAcentral.